Hyposmocoma kahamanoa is the source of this 1275-nucleotide long non-coding RNA. RefSeq lists it as uncharacterized. The transcript is spliced from 4 exons. The record is from RefSeq and is a predicted model, not a curated record. NCBI's taxonomy places the organism in Eukaryota, Metazoa, Arthropoda, Insecta, Lepidoptera, Cosmopterigidae.
UAUUUACCUGAUGAGUUGUCAAGGAUAGAUGGCCCGUAAUUCGUCUCUAUUUCUGGUCUUAUAUACUCGAUGUUUGAAUAAUUGAGUACACGUUUACCGGCUGAUGACGAUGAAUUCAUAUGUCUACCUAUAUACAGGGGGGUCGAUUCAGAAUCUUACGAUAACCCAGUUGUCGACCGAUUCGAUUUGAUAUAGUACUAUUUCUUUUCAUUUUUAUUCACGACACCCCUCGAAACCGAUCCGAAAUGACAUCAAACCCAUACUACUAGAAUUUCUCGACCGGCAAAGGCUACAAACGUUAUUCAGAACACAAUUAUCGAACGAAAGUUACCGAACGUAUUGUAAGCAAGAAUGUAACAUGGAAAUUUCUUAUUAUUUUAAACAAAGUCUGGAUUUUCUGCAAUUUUAUUAAUUUAUUUUACUGCAAAACUAAUGCAUUCCUAUAUUUUAGGCCUGUCAAGUCCUCAAAAUGUGUUUUCGUUUCAUUUUCAUUUGUCUAAUUAUCUAUAUCACCAAUUAACUCCGAAGACGCUGUUAGAUAACGAUAUCUCUUUAACUCGAAUGUUCUGAAUAAAGCGCCCUUAUAUUCGAGAACGAUAUCUAAUCGAACGAUUCGAUUAAAAUAUAGAAGAGUUCUUAGUUGGGGUCUAGGAUGGGUUAUAUUUGCAUCUCAGUAGAACCAGUUUGGGAAAUAAUCUUUUCUAAAUUGAUUCUGGUCUGGUUGCUUUGGUCAGUGCCCUAGGGAGCUCCGUUGCUCUGGGACUCAUUGAACAAGAAACUUCCUAGUCUGAGAUCAGUUGUCCUCUGUCUUCAAGCAACAAGCGUCCAAACGUUUCUUUGGAAGGAUAUCUAUCCUUUUAUGGAAGAGCUAAGCUGCAAAAACUGCCAACGAGUAUAUGUGCCUAUAUGUGCCACGAAUAACCGAACUUUCGUCAAUAUGUGCAAACUGUAUUGUUACAAUGCACGUCACACGAAAGAUCGUCGCGUAAAAUUUAAAUACGAUGGGCCUUGUACUAAAUUCUCAAGGAGAUCUAUCGAUGGCAAUUUGGAAUUCAAUUUUACGGCACUAAGUGAAAGUCUCGGUGCCAAAAUACCAUUAAAUGAAACAAACCGCAACGUCACUAACACUGUAUUUAAGAAACAACAGAGACAGAAAUAGAAUACACUGAAAAAGAUGAUACGACGUUCAACAUUUCCAAUUGGAUAGACGAAAAUAAAUUAAAUGAUAGUUAUAUAAGAUCCAAUAUUGAUCAUAACUACAAAUUUAAAUAAACC